CUCCUACGGGAGGCAGCAGUGAGGAAUAUUGGGCAAUGGACGCAAGUCUGACCCAGCACGCCGCGUGGAGGAUGAAGGUCCUUGGAUUGUAAACUCCUUUUGCAGGGGAAAAGUAAGGAUGGUACCCUGAGAAUAAGUCACGGCUAACUACGUGCCAGCAGCCGCGGUAAUACGUAGGUGACAAGCGUUAUCCGGAUUUAUUGGGCGUAAAGCGCACGCAGGCGGCUGAUUAAGUCUGACGUGAAAUCUCCCGGCUUAACCGGGAGCGGUCGUUGGAAACUAAUCGGCUCGAGGCGAUGAGAGGGGUGUGGAAUUCCCGGUGUAGUGGUGGAAUGCGUAGAUAUCGGGGGGACCAUCAGUGGCGAAAGCGGCACCCUGGCAUUAGCCUGACCGCUCAUGUGCGAAAGCCUGGGGAGCGACCGGGAUUAGAUACCCCGGUAGUCCACGCUGUAACCGAUGAAUACUAGGUGUGGGUAGUCUCAAAAUUAUCCGUGCCGAAGCAAACGCGAUAAGUAUUCCGCCUGGGGAGUCCGGCCGCAAGGCUAAAACUCAAAGGAAUUGCCGGGGGCCCGCCCAAGCAGCGGAGCGUGUGGUUUAAUUCGAUGCGCCACGAAGACCCUUACCUGGGUUUGCCAUAGAGGUAGUAGUGAAGCGAAAGCGGAACGACCCUUCGGGGAGCCUCUCCAGGUGCUGCAUGGCUGUCGUCAGCUCGUGUCGUGAGAUGUUGGGUUAAGUCCCGCAACGAGCGCAACCCUUGUUGCUAGUUACAUGUGUCUAGCGAUACUGCCGGUCUUAAACCGGAGGAAGGUGGGGAUGACGUCAAGUCAGCAUGGCCUUUAUAUCCAGGGCUACACACACGCUACAAUGGGCAGUACAAUGGGCAGCGAAGGGGCGACCUGGAGCGAAUCUCAUCAAAGCUGUUCGUAGUUCAGAUUGUAGGCUGCAACCCGCCUACAUGAAGCUGGAGUUGCUAGUAAACGCAGGUCAGC
Molecule: ribosomal RNA, 989 nt
Filed under: uncultured Chloroflexales bacterium
Lineage: Bacteria; Bacillati; Chloroflexota; Chloroflexia; Chloroflexales
Description: bacterial SSU rRNA
Rfam family: Bacterial small subunit ribosomal RNA
Source: RNAcentral